This 491-nucleotide ribosomal RNA is filed under the name Daphnia atkinsoni group sp. 2 Israel. RNAcentral describes it as "partial large subunit ribosomal RNA". It matches the Rfam family "Bacterial large subunit ribosomal RNA", at positions 1832 to 2589 of the family's 2925-position model. The record is from RNAcentral. Lineage: Eukaryota; Metazoa; Arthropoda; Branchiopoda; Diplostraca; Daphniidae.
CUCCUCUUGUUAAAUAAGAGGUACCGUCUGCUCAAUGCAUAUUGUAAAUAGCCGCAGUAUUCUGACUGUGCUAAGGUAGCAUAAUCAUUAGUCUUUUAAUUGAAGGCUGGUAUGAAUGACGAGACGAGAAAGUAGCUGUCUCUAAGAUAAAUUUUCGAAUUUUACUUCUAAGUGAAAAGGCUUAGAUUUUUUUGAAGGACGAUCAGACCCUUUGGAGCUUUAUUUAUUUCAAAGUCUUAAUUUGUGUUAGAUAAUUAGAUUAAAAAUAAAUUCUGUUGGGGCGACAGGGAGUAAAAAAUAACACUCUUUUUUAAAAACAAUUAUUGUUGGAAAAUUGAUCCUUAGUGAAAGAUUAGAAGACUAAGUUACCCUAGGGAUAACAGCGUAAUCUUUUUGGAGAGUUCUAAUCGAUAAAAAGGUUUGCGACCUCGAUGUUGGAUUAAGAGAUUAGCAAGGUGCAGAAGUUUUGUUAAAGAGUGCUGUUCGACUUU